GAAAAACCAAUGUGCCUGGGCCAUCAACAAGUACAGAACGUUACAGAAAGACAAUUUAUAAGCACUCUAUCAUAUCAUAAAACGGUCAGAAUGUCUAAACAAGAAUGAGAAUUGAAAUAUUUUGAUAUAUCGAGUUUUGAAGCAAAAUGUAAAAUAUAUCGAACUGAUUUUAUGUGCUGGAAUACGAGAUCUAUGAAUAAUCAUUUCACAGCAAAGCAUCCAAAUAUAAAACAAAAUAGACAAAUGCACUGGACAUGGCAGUAUUUUAAGAAAUUUGGCCAUUCACGCGUGCGAUGCAAUAUUUGUAAAAAAAAAGUAUAUUGGAACACAGUUGGAACGAAGACAUUACAAUAUUAUUUAUCUCUGCAUGAUAUAUUUUCAGACAAAAAUUACAAAUAUCGUUCUAGCUUUGUAUGGAAUCACGUUAAACAGUAUAAUAGUACGCUGCGUAACUAUACCUGUUACGUGCAGUGUAAUGAGUGUACUCAUUAUGAGACCAUAGCGCUUAGAUUAAGGAAGACUAUUCUAAAGCGUCACAUGCAAACAGAACAUAUGGAUAUAUGGAUAGCAGAAGACUAUGCAAAGCACAAUGCACAAGAAGAAACAAAUAUGUCUGGGCCAUCGACAAGCAUACACCGUUAAAGAAAAAAACAACGGUUUAUCCAGAACACAUUUGUCAAAGACUCUACAUUCACAAGUAGUGAUGGGGUUUCAAAACUCUCAUUUGUAAAUUGUUAAGCCAACCAAGAAUGACUGAAAAUCAAAAAUCUCAAAAUCUUGCAAUCAC
Long non-coding RNA from Linepithema humile (Argentine ant), 787 nucleotides. RefSeq lists it as uncharacterized. NCBI's taxonomy places the organism in Eukaryota, Metazoa, Arthropoda, Insecta, Hymenoptera, Formicidae. The record is from RefSeq and is a predicted model, not a curated record.